CAUCGUCAUCGUUGUCCAAAAGAAGAAACCCGAGAGAAUUCUGGUCAGAUUCCCAGUCGGAAUGACCUCGCGGGCUGGAGAGAACCUGCUCCAUUUAGGAGCGCCGUUCUUCUCUUGUGACGUCGAAACACUCCAGGAGGGAUAGUGAACCAGACCACGGGCUGAAUCCCAAAUCACUCCCUACUACCUACAUGAGUGCACUUCAUCAGGUGUGCACUUAAUCACUGGUGCCUACACCUUACACCUGAGCUGUUUGGGUGUGAACCCGCAUCUUACGUCUUUUAAAAGGGUAGAUCAGUUCAAAAAGGAAAAAGGGCAAGUGUACACACAUCCAGUGGAGACUCCUGGAAAAAACCAAAGGUGAGGAUGGAAACCUCCAGCGUACCCCGUUAUCAUUUAUCUCGAAAAGCUUUAAUCUAAACACUAAGUACAGUCUAAUUAUAUUUAGAGGAUGUCUGAGGUUCAAGCUGGCACUGUUGGGCUCUUGAGCAAGGCACUUAACCCUAUCUGCUCCAGGCAUGCUGCAUCAUGCACUCUGACCCCAGCUUCCUAACAAGCUGGGAUAUGAGAAGAAUGUCACUGUAAGUGCUGUACGUCUUCUUCUCUUUCAUCAUCUUCUUCUCUUUAACCCUUUCCUCACAGUACACCGCCGUCCAAGAGUCUACUCAGCAGACAUUUUCAAUUGGUGUAAACGAAACGAUUAUUCUAGCGCCGCAAGUCUGUUAUAAGAUGAGUCAGGGAACGCUGUUGGGUUUCUGUACGUAGAGUAUCCUGACUGUGCGUUUACCUGCUGGUGAGCGGAGCCAUGGGAAAAGGGGGAGGAGUGGGAGCCCGCUGCUGGGCAAACAACUCACACCUCUCUACUGUAAGACUGGUACUGAGAUAAAACCCUUAACCAUUAACUACUGUAGUGUGACGUCACAAAUAAAUUCGAUGCUAAACAAAACACAGGCACCCCCAAAGCAGGCGGAAAAUAAAAUUUUUUAGUCUUUGGUAAAAAAAAUAAUAAAUAAAUAAAUAAAAAUUAAAAAAAUCAAAAGGUACGUAUUAAAAGGUACAAAAGAUAACGGUACAAUGCAGCAUGGUGGUAUACCAUGGAUAUAUAGCAGUGCAAGCUCACACCUCCAGGGUGUACAGUUUGAUCCCGAGCUUGCGUUCCUUUCGGUGUGGAGUUUCCCCUGGGUUCUUCGGUUUCCUCCCAAAAACAUUACAUCAGGUGGAAUGGAGACUCUAGAAUUGGCCCUAGGUGUGAAUGAGUGUGUCCACUGAUGCCUUGCGAUGAACCGUAUCCCCAUCCAGGGUGUAUUCCCACUUUACACCAAGAUCCUGAUCAGGAUAACGCGCCCACUGAAGAUUAACGAAUGGAUGAAUGUCAGUGCUCAGAUGAACUUUCCUUUCACCAACCACUGCUUCACAGUUUUGAUAUUGCAAUAUUCCAAUCACCCACACUGUUGACACAUCUUUCCAAUUGUGUAAAAUCACUUGACCUGAGCUGUUGGCAUGGCAGCAACGUUACCUUUGAUCCCAAAUCUUCUGUCGAAAAGAUGCAGAGGGCGCAGUUUGCUGGACUUGUUUUGUAGAGACCAGAUCAGAUCAUGGGAUGAUGGUUGUAUAGGGUAACACAAGCACAACAAUUAAACUCACCUUUUUUGUUUUGUUUUUUUUCAUUACUAAUUCACUAACUUGUAAACAGACACUUUCCGCCCUCUAGUGGCUACACUAAGAUGAUACAGACAAACAAGACAUCAUGAAGUAGCAAGAAUUAUAUAGGUUUUAUUACAGAAACCAUGUGUGUAGAGCUAGAAUAGAGAAAUUAUAUUUACAUUAAUGUUUUCUAAACAUGUUACAAUCUUCGAUCAUCAAAAAGGUUUGUGAAACGGAGUCAAGGGGUCCUCAGUUUUCUAAUUUUGUUACUGUGGUGUAACACGACCUACCAUUACCUGGAAUCUAACAAUUCAAUUUUAUUAAAAAUAGAGAAAAAUAAUUUAAUCUCUGGCUCCAGUUUUUUGUUGUUUUUUUUUUUGCACUGGCAGGGGUUCUUGACUAUAAGAAAGUUUGAGAACCCCCUGUUCUAUGGGAAAUCUUAAAGGUUUUUGUAGAGUUUUCCCCUUUCAAAUCCCCAUUAGAAAGGUACCCUUAAACAAAGAACCCUUCAGGAACCAAGGAACGCCUAUUUCACAUCUCCAGUCAUUAACAAUAAUUAUCUUGCAUACUGAAUAUAUAUCUCCAGAAGGCACAUUAGG
This is a long non-coding RNA of Ictalurus punctatus (channel catfish), 2243 nucleotides long. RefSeq lists it as uncharacterized. The record is from RefSeq and is a predicted model, not a curated record. The transcript is spliced from 2 exons. NCBI's taxonomy places the organism in Eukaryota, Metazoa, Chordata, Actinopteri, Siluriformes, Ictaluridae.